GAUGAACGCUAGCUACAGGCUUAACACAUGCAAGUCGAGGGGAAACGCCAUCGAAAGCUUGCUUUUGAUGGGCGUCGACCGGCGCACGGGUGAGUAACGCGUAUCCAACCUGCCCAUCACUUGGGAAUAACCUUGCGAAAGUAAGACUAAUACCCAAUGAUAUCCCACGAAGGCAUCGGAAUGGGAUUAAAGAUUUAUCGGUGAUGGAUGGGGAUGCGUCUGAUUAGCUUGUUGGCGGGGUAACGGCCCACCAAGGCAACGAUCAGUAGGGGUUCUGAGAGGAAGGUCCCCCACAGUGGAACUGAGACACGGUCCAAACUCCUACGGGAGGCAGCAGUGAGGAAUAUUGGUCAAUGGGCGAGAGCCUGAACCAGCCAAGUAGCGUGCAGGAAGACGGCCCUAUGGGUUGUAAACUGCUUUUAUAAGGGAAUAAAGUGGGUCACGUGUGACUUUUUGCAUGUACCUUAUGAAUAAGGACCGGCUAAUUCCGUG
This 492-nucleotide ribosomal RNA is filed under the name uncultured bacterium. RNAcentral's name for it is "partial 16S ribosomal RNA". It matches the Rfam family "Bacterial small subunit ribosomal RNA", at positions 28 to 507 of the family's 1533-position model. The record is from RNAcentral.